UCCCCUAGUAACUGCGAGUGAAGCGGGAAGAGCUCAAAUUUGAAAUCUGGCGGCCUUGCCGUCCGAGUUGUAAUCUGGAGAAGCGUCUUCUGUGUCGGACCGUGUACAAGUCUCUUGGAACAGAGCGUCGUAGAGGGUGAGAAUCCCGUCUUUGACACGGACUGCCGAUGCUCCACGAGGCGCUCUCGAAGAGUCGAGUUGUUUGGGAAUGCAGCUCAAAGUGGGUGGUAAAUUCCAUCUAAAGCUAAAUAUUGGCGAGAGACCGAUAGCGAACAAGUACCGUGAGGGAAAGAUGAAAAGCACUUUGGAAAGAGAGUUAAACAGUACGUGAAAUUGUUGAAAGGGAAGCGCUUGAAGUCAGUCGCGUUGUCCGGAACUCAGCCUCGCUCUUGCCUGGCGUACUUUCCGGUCGACGGGCCAACGUCGAUUUUGGCCGACGGAUAAAGGCAGGUGGAAGGUGGCACCUCCGGGUGUGUUAUAGCCUCCUGUCGCAUGCGUCGGCUGGGAUCGAGGAUCGCAGCACGCCUUUUUGGCCGGGGUUCGCCCACGUAACGUGCUUAGGAUGUUGGCGUAAUGGCUUCAAACGACCCGUCUUGAAACACGGACCAAGGAGUCUAACAUGCCCGCGAGUGUUAGGGUGGAAAACCCUUGCGCGUAAUGAAAGUGAAAGUCGAGACCUCUGUCGUGGAGGGCACCGACGCCCGGCCUUGAACUACUGUGACGGUGCCGCGGUGGAGCGUGUAUGUUGGGACCCGAAAGAUGGUGAACUAUGCCUGAAUAGGGUGAAGCCAGAGGAAACUCUGGUGGAGGCUCGUAGCGAUUCUGACGUGCAAAUCGAUCGUCGAAUUUGGG
This 852-nucleotide ribosomal RNA is filed under the name Skvortzovia dabieshanensis. RNAcentral's name for it is "partial large subunit ribosomal RNA". It matches the Rfam family "Eukaryotic large subunit ribosomal RNA", at positions 76 to 915 of the family's 3401-position model. Lineage: Eukaryota; Fungi; Basidiomycota; Agaricomycetes; Hymenochaetales. The record is from RNAcentral.